RNAcentral lists this ribosomal RNA (495 nucleotides) under uncultured Mucilaginibacter sp. RNAcentral describes it as "partial 16S ribosomal RNA". Lineage: Bacteria; Pseudomonadati; Bacteroidota; Sphingobacteriia; Sphingobacteriales; Sphingobacteriaceae. The record is from RNAcentral.
CACGGAGUUAGCCGAUCCUUAUUCUUACAGUACAUUCAGCUCAGUAUACAUACUGAGGUUUAUUCCCGUAUAAAAGCAGUUUACAACCCGUAGGGCCGUCUUCCUGCACGCGGCAUGGCUGGUUCAGGCUUCCGCCCAUUGACCAAUAUUCCUUACUGCUGCCUCCCGUAGGAGUCUGGUCCGUGUCUCAGUACCAGUGUGGGGGGUCAUCCUCUCAGAUCCCCUAAACAUCGUAGCCUUGGUAAGCCGUUACCUUACCAACUAGCUAAUGUUCCGCAUGCCCAUCUUGUUCCUAUAAAUAUUUGAUCAUUUUGCAAUGCUGCAAUGUGAUUUUAUGCGGUCUUAAUCUCUCUUUCGAGAGGCUAUCCCCCUGAACAAGGUAGGUUACAUACGUGUUACGCACCCGUGCGCCACUCUCAUUGGAAGCAAGCUCCCAAAUCCCGUCCGACUUGCAUGUAUUAGGCCUGCCGCUAGCGUUCAUCCUGAGCCAGGAUA